Long non-coding RNA from Cyprinus carpio carpio, 5966 nucleotides. NCBI's taxonomy places the organism in Eukaryota, Metazoa, Chordata, Actinopteri, Cypriniformes, Cyprinidae. The record is from Ensembl.
GGCAAUGCACAGGAGCAUUAAAUAAGGAGGGGAGGAUGUAACCCACAAUAAAAAUCCAGCUUAUAUGGAUACACAUGUAAAUAUAAACACUGAAAUUCAUAAUUAUUUCAAUAUCGAGAAAUCAAGUUAUUAAUAUUGUUUAGCCAAUCUGUAUAUUUUGUGAAACUAUGAAGUCAUCACCCCACGUCUUGACCCUAGUCAGACACCACUAUGUCACAUAACAGCAACAACAACAUGAGCAAACAAUAAACGGCUGUAUUUUUUUAUUUAAAAAAAAACAUUAACACAGAUUAAUAAAUGUAUUGUUCCAUGUUUGUCUUGUUGUUGUGUUGGGUUUGUAUUUAGCAUGCAAGGUUUAUGCACAUGCUCCAAGUCUUAUUCUCCAUUUUUAGUAUAUCUCUUUCCACAAUUACACCUACUGAUCUGGCAUGUAUACUACAUUGUUUUGAGUCAUUUCAGUGAUUUUGUGUGUACACCGAUAUUUCUUGAGACGACGCCGUGUUUAUGGAAGACCGAGGAAAAAAAAGAUUGGAUAGGGAAAGCUCUGGCUCCGUGUGGAUGUGGCCUUACUUACCUUUUGUUACCUGUGUUAUUCUUGUUUGUUUUUCUUUUUUUUCUCCAGCUGAUCCAAACAACUGAUUUUACUGUGUUUACUGUGCUACAGUAAAGUGUUAUUUUUUACAUCCAAACUGCUGUUUCCAGCAUAGGUUUUUAUAUCUGUCCCCCACUUCUUUCGAGUCUAGAACUAGUCCAGUGGAUAGUAUUUGCAUUGGAGGAUGCAAGUUCUACAUACACAUUUGCAGGGGUGUGUCUACGUGGUGGCCAUGGGUGGCACCGGUCCCCCCUGAAAUUUGGCUGGCCACCCCAGGUGCUCCCCCCUACCAGAUGUAAUUCAGGUGAGGAGUAGGCUUAUCUCACUAAAUGGAAGCAAGCUGAUUAUAGUCAGCCUUCUCUAGUUAUUUAUUUUAUUAAUAGCCUUAUUUUAGUCAUGUGCUUGAAUUGUAAAUAUGCAUUUAUUAAAUUAUUUUAUUUAGUGCAUUUGUAGGCUAUUUUGUUGUUUUUGUAUAUAGUUUUGCAAUAAAAGCGUAUCAACCAGGUUCCAGAAAUAAUCACUGAAGGUGCUUCUGAAAUUAGUGAGGGUGCUCUAGGUUUAAUGCACAUUUUCACAUAUUUUGUCCAGUAUAUUGCUAUGGUUAUCACUAUGUCAAUCACUGCUACUUCCAAAGUGAAUCCUGCAUAAAUAUGCAGAUGUCAUUCCAGAAACUUUGCAAUGUGUGUGUGGCCGAAAAACAAAGUUCUACGUUUUAAAUGAAUUAUAGACUAAAAUGCUUUGUACUCAUUUUAUCUUGGACAAAGUUAUGCCAAUUAAAAAAUUGCCUACUUUAACAUAACUGAGGAAGAUCCAGUAAGUUUCCUGAGCUAUGACACAGCAACAUCUGUGGAAUAAAUUUGUCCUCUGGGAAUCAAUAGCCCUGUGAAUAGGUCAAAUUCCAUAGUUCAAUAGAAAAAAUGGGAACCGUUUUAUGGAAAUUACUUUGUUCAACUAGAAAGACACUUUACAAGUUUUUAGAAAGCUCAUGACUGUCCUUGAAUCUGAUUUUCCCCCCUCCAUUUGGCUCAUUCUUUGUUCUCCUUGUACCUCUCUGAUGGCUGUGAUCAUGUGACGAGAGGUUUUUCCUACUUAUUACCCUCUUCACUGGAGCACUUCAAGGCAUCAUCCUUUUUUUUUAUUGCAGCUCCUCUCUGUCUUCCAUUUUCUUCUCUUAUAAGAAGGUCACAAACACUCGCCUCUCUGUUGGGGUCAAUUUCUUUCUUUUUCUCCCCUUAGACACUCAUCUCACUUAAUCUCUCUUAUGUUAAAUUUGACCUGUGCCUCAGGUUGUGGAUUUAAAGAGAUAUGAAUUCAUCAUCUGUCCUUUUGGAUGGUAGUUUUGCUUGCGUAUAAGAGCCUGUUACAUCAGCCAGUCCACAUUUUUAGGCUGCUUUACAGUGGUCUUACAGCACUUGUCAAUGUUAAAAUAAUUGAAAUGGCCAAUCAAAUCCAACGGACUUUAUCUUUCACAGGGGAGAAAAACUUAAAUUUUAACAGAGAAAGAGUGCUAGAGAAUGAAAUAAAAGCAGCACAGAAGUGCUGAGCUCAGACUGCCCCAAACUCUCUUAAGAUGCGACUUGACAACAUCAAUGCUCAUUUAUCUAUAUUACUAUAGGCAGCAGCCAAACAGCUACAUUUGUCCUGUAGUCCUUGGACAGGUUGCAAAACCAAUGAAAUCAGCAAACAAGCAGUCCAUAAAAAUACAUAAAAGCAGAUAAACCCAGUUUCUCAUAAACUCACUGCCCUCCAUUGACUGCACUAACAUGCAUUUAAACAUCCCCUCAUGCAGCAGACAUUAAAACAUGUAUACACACAAAAAAUCAAAUGGGAAUUAAAAUCAGAUCAUGCAUCCUUACAGUAACUAAUUAAGUCAUUACACAACUUGUGGUUUAUCACACUAGUAGAAAAGCAAAAAAUAAAUAAAUAAAUAAAUAAAAACCAUAUCCUGCAUAAUCUACUUUGGCACACAUUUUCCGCCUAAGGUUGUCUCUUGAUCUCUUAAUGAGACUGGUUGACUCUCAAAAACACUGCCAAACCUGAUACAUUACAAUUAACCUGUGCUUUGACGCAAAGGUAAUUUCUGGCUAGAAAAAAAAAAAAACAAUGCCAUUGAGGGUCCCUUGAAGAAUCAUAGUAAAAACUAAAAUAAAAAUAUUAUUAUAUAUUUAUUUACAAUAAAGAAAAACGUUUUUCUUUUACAGUUUUUCUCGAUUGCUUAAACACUAUAAGCAGGCUUUUGAGCUAAGAUUUCAAGACCAUAAUGACAUUUUUCAGAAAGCACACCCAUUUUGCUGAACUAUAAAUACUAUUCUCCUGCUUUAACACAUGAGUCAGAUUUGGUGAACUCUUACUGCAAAACUCAACACACAAAUCCCUACAUUUCUCAGUCCUUACACCAUGUGGUCAUUUAGAAAGCACUAGCAUUCAAUAUUAUUCACUCAAGUCAGCAUAACUUGAGCUCAUUUAGCACACAGAUACCCACGUGGAAACACUAAGAGUCAAAAUUUAUCACACACCAAUCUGAACCUUCAAUAGAUAGAUAAAAGAGCCCCAUUCAGUUCAUUAAGUUUUGGAACAAUGGAUCCAGAGAGACGUGAUUGAAAAGGUCGAGGACACCAGAGAGGAGUAACAGGAGGAAGAGGAUGAGCAAGAGCAGUAAGGAGUGGAGGAAGAGGUGAAGGAAGAGGAAGAGGAGGAGGAGGAGGGGCAAGGAGACAAGGAGUCUCAGAUGAAAUUUGUGCCACUAGUUGACCAUGUCCUUGUCCAUGGUUUGACUAUGAGGGAGGCUGGGCAAUGAGUUCAGCCAAACUUAAGUUGCUUCACCGUCGCCUCGAUCAUAAGAACAUACAGGGAGGAAAACAGGACACAGAGACGAUGGAAUGGAAGAAGCCUGACUAGACAUUACAGUUGAUGUAUGACAGGGGUGGAUCAGUCAUGCAAGAGGAUUUUACCCCCGCUGCCUGGCUAGGGCCAGUAUAGCCUGUGAUGUCUGUCCCAGACCAAAGAUGUGAUGCUGGGGCAGAAUAUUUUUUUGUUGUUGUUGUUUGGUGUAUUGUACUGUACAGUACAUAAAGGAAUAGAAAAUGUGCAAAUACACACAUGCUCAUCAUGUGAAAUGUUCUUUGAGGGGGAGAACCACAAGCAACAAGUAUUGGUUUUUGUAGUAUUGUUUUGAAUUUAACUCACCGGUGUGUAAGACUAUGUUGUAGUGUGUGUGCUUUUGAGGGCUUGUGUGUGAUGUCAACGUGUUUUUCAGCAAGAGUGAAUGGUUUUGAGUGUAGAGCUUCAUUUUGACCUGAAAAUAGGUUGUUUGGGUAACUGUGUGAGAGGUUAUCGAUUUGUGUUUACUGUUUUGAGAAUAUGAGCCAUAGUUUCAAGAAAUGUGUUUAAGCAAUUGAGAAAAACUAUAAGAACUGAUCACUGAAAUGUUCUUUGUGGAAGCCAAAAAUGGCAUUUGCUGAGAAAACCCCCUUUUGGAACCUUUAUUUUUAAAGGGGUCAUAUGAUGCGAUUUAAAUUUUUCCGUUCUCUUUGGAGUGUUACAAGCUCUUGGUGCAUAAAGAAGAUCUGUAGAGUUGCAAAGACUAAAGUCUCAAACCCAAAGAGAUAUUCUUUAUAAAAGUUAAGACUUGUCCACGUCUUCCUAAAACGCCUCAUUUAAAAAUGCCCCCACACGUCUACGUCACUGUGUGGGAAGAUUUUCAUAACACCGCCCAAAUGUUCAUGCAGAGAAAGAAGGCACAAUGUUUAUUCUCGCUGUAGUAUUGUUGUUGCCGCCAUGUUGUGGAGACGCUGUGUGUCAUUGUGAAAGCAAAACUACUUUGUUUGGCCUUCCAAAAGAGGAUGAUAUCCGCUUCGUCAUGUUUAGAGCUGAACCGUGCUGGUCUCUGUGGAAAUACAUCAACUUCGCGCUGUGGAUAGUCAGAUUGGGUUUCAUUGUGGACGAAGUGGAGUCCAGUCCCUGGGUCAUCACAUUUGUCGAAUCUGCUGGCCGCGCCAUUCUCUAACCCGCCGGCCGUUCCUCACUCAAGCCCGCAGUGUCUGACGCUGUGUGACACAUUUUAUGGAGGACUGUUUCCUGAACCUGCAGACUAGCCUACGAUGGGUGUGCGCUCAAAGGCUGUUCUAUAAAGUGAGGCAGUUCCAACUUUGCAAGGGCAGUCUGGUGCUUCUGACUCACAGCCUGGCACUUCAGCCAUGGGUAUUGAGGGUGGAAGAGAGCACUGUUCAUUCACUCCCCCCCACCUACAACUCCUGCCAGCACCGAGACUCAAACCUGUGACCUUCUGGUUACAAGUCCAAUUCUCUAGCCGUUAGGCCACAGCUGCCCCGUAAUGCGAAAAACACAGUAUAAGUCAUUAUAAGUAAUUAUGUCCCCACUGGAUGCAACAAAUGCCUCAUGUUUUAAUGGGUUUUAUUGGUUUUGUCUGGUCGUGCCAUGAGACGGUAUCACAGUAUGGUGAGGGGCAUAACAUUUCCGUCACACGCUUGAGGUAUUCAGCCAAUCACAACACACUGGAUAACUGGCCAGUCAGCAUACACCUCGCUUUUCAGAACGAUGAGCUUUGUAAAAAUCAACAUGUUUCAGAAAGGCGGGGCAUAGAGGAGCAACAAUAAUGUACAUUGUGUGGAAAAUAAUGUGUUUAUUUUAACCUUAAACCUCAUAAAAACAUUUCAUUACACCAAAUACACAACAUAAUGUUCUUUUUAUCAAUGUUAUAUGACCCCUUUAAGUUUAGGGCAGUGGUUCUCAAUCUUUUUUCCACUGGGCCGCACUAUGGUCCAAGUGCAAGUAUCACGGGCCACAUAUCAUUUACAUAUUACGUCACCAAAACAAACCAAACUGAUUUAUAAUAUUAUAGCCUAAAUAUUAUGAUAUCUAAAUGAUUACAUUUAUUGAAAUAAAUAAAUAAAUCCUAUUGAUAUAUCACUUGCAUAAUAAUUCUGUCUGGGUUGACAUUUCUUAAAAUACAUAAGAAUUAAAAUAACUGUUGUUGUCUAUCUGUGUCUUGUGUUUUUUUUAUGUAUUUAUUUUUUAAUCUUUAACCAGGAAAAUACUCAUUGAGAUAAAGAAUCUCUUUUACAAGUGUGUCCUGACUGAAAUCUUGUUCUGUACUCUUGAGAACCCAGACUUCUCAGACUCAUCUUCAUCAAAAAUAUUUGUGUCCAACAUAAAACAAAUUCAGAAAUCACUAUUAUAAAAAUGGAAAGUUAUAUUCCUUUAUUAUGAUUGCCCUAGACGUAUUUUGAGUUGUUGUAAAAUACACCAUAAACACACACCUGUGGCCUCGUAACAUCAGUAUUGCUGCACAACUGUGUCUGUGUCUUGCUUGGCAUUUUGCUAAACAUUGCUGAACAACUACAUUGUGUGCCGG